This is a long non-coding RNA of Canis lupus familiaris (dog), 3220 nucleotides long. RefSeq lists it as uncharacterized. The record is from RefSeq and is a predicted model, not a curated record. Lineage: Eukaryota; Metazoa; Chordata; Mammalia; Carnivora; Canidae. The transcript has 3 exons.
GAACCCAUCAUUUUCUCCAUCUUUUCAGGAGCUAUAAAAUGAUAUUUUCAGCAUUCUGUAAAAGAUACAUCUCAUCUCUUCUCCAAGCAUCUCCUGAACAUGGCUAAGCAGUGAAAAACAUCUAUGGGACAAUCCUGCAAUCAUCUGUCUCUAAUAUAAUGUAAGACAUCUACUGCUGAAACUUGCUAUGGCAACAGAAGGCCAGACUGUCAAGGGAACUUCCUAACUUUCCCAUCUGUGAGCUCUUCGGCUGGAGUCUUAUAUGUGGCCCUUGAAGCAAGAAUAAAGGGGGAUAAAUACCUGCUCCAAAGACCAGAAGCCUCCAAGCAUCCCGGCCCUGCUCCAACAUCUCUGCAGACCAUUCAGCCCUCACCUCCAGACAAAAGCAAGAAGGUUUCACAGAAGAAAGAGGGUGAACCAUCCAGGUACCCCUAUCUCAGGACCCUGACAGAUGUAACUGGAAUUAUGCGGCACUCUGUGGCUUCCCUUAGGGAAAGCCUCCCGGUUAUUGUUUUUCUUCUGUGUCAUCUUCUGAAUCCCAGUAAGAAUUAAUUUAAGCGUUUAUCUGGUCUAGGCCUGAGCACCUAGGGAAAGUACAGUCUUUCUGGAGUCCUUCUAUCUCCAUCUCUUCACAGAGAACCUGCUUCUAGUAAGGUCAAAAUGCUAAGUAGAAGUGUCUCCCUCGGCACCUACACUGCACAAGGGAAGGCACUAACAAAAUAAAGGAUUAAAGCAACCUAGGUUCCUUUCAAGACCACACACACUUAGGUCAUUUUUGACCAACGUGCCAUUAGAAAAAUCCCACCUCUUCCAGGAAGCCUUCCAGGGUAAUUCAGAGAAGAGCCAAAAGCUCGAUUUUGUUUUAUCCAGCUGGAGCACUCACAGGUAACCACACCCUUGUCCCAUCGCCUUUAUGGUUACUACACAUAGAGGCACUCCGUAACCACUUGAUGAAUAAAUGAAUGAAUUCUUAAGAAGUAUAUUUACCUCUUACAAUGUAGCAGGUGCAUUUUGGGGAGAUACACACUCAAAGCAGACAUGGCCCCUGGCCUCGUGGAACUUAAUCCAAUAACUGAUGUGGAUACACCAUCAAUGUCCCAAGGUUCAUUCAUUCCUCCACUCCAGAUUGGUGUCCAUAUGCUCCCACCCAUCAAGCACGUUUGUAAAGUGUCUACUCUGUGCCCCGGAGGUAGAGACCCAGAGAUGAAAGACCUGGUUCCUGCAGCUGAAGGAUUUCGCAAACUAUGGAAGGCAGCUGAAUGGCCUGGAGGGGGAUGGAGUGAAUAGAAAACACCACAUCUAUUUACAUCUCCGGGUGAUAAGUACAAGGGUAAGGAUCUGCGGUGGUUCUGAGGGGGGAUAAGGAUCUGGAACGCUGAGAAGCAGUGAAACAUCUGAACGGAGCCCUGGCUUCCAGGCCCAGGCAGGCCACUUGCUUAUAACCUGAAAACAAAACAGAAUGCAUGUCCUCGUCUCCCUGGAGGGUCAAGAUGAUGUUGAGAUAAUGUGGGUUCCUCUGCAAAGGACAAUACGAAUGUUAACAAAGGAAUUUUCUUAAAGACAGGGCCAUUUCUGUCCUUAUCGAUAAAAUCAGGCUGGCUUCUUUGGAUAAGAUAUGGAUUUUUUUCCAGUCCCCUUUGCACUUCAGAGCAGUUUCUUUGCCUAGCACCUUGAUUUCUUUUUCUAGUAAGGACAGGCUAACCUCCACUAGGCCUCCUCUGCCCUGUGUUCUGGAGCCUGGACCCUAAGCCAGAGCCUAGUGGAGGCCCAUGGCCCCCAGCAGGGGCCAGAAGUCGCUUCUAAGCUGUUAACUUCAAGACUCAGGGGCACCUGGGUGGUUCAGUGGUUGAGUGGCUGCCUUUGACUCAGGUUGUGAUCCUGUGGUCCUGGGAUCAAGCCUUGCACCGGGAUCCCUUCAAGGAGCUUGUGUCUCUGCCUCUCUCUCUCUGUGUCUCUCAUGAAUAAAUAAAUAAAAUCUUUAAAACAAAAAACAAACGUCAGCACUCAGCUACUCAGAGAAGAAUAGCUUGUCCCUGGAAUGGAAUUCUGCUCACGCCAAGCCCUAGCUGGGAGGGGACACAGGGCUGGAGAACUUCCAAAUCCGACUGCAAGGCUUUGGGAAUGUUGCAUUUGGUCCAGCAAGGGAAUUGUAACCAGAAUGCAGUACAAUCAAAUAUGCUAGAAAACACUCCAACUUCUGUUGGCUGGGGAAUGCCUUUCUCAAGAAUAUAACAACUCUGGGGAAUUUUUAGAAACUUAAAAAAAAAAUAUAUCAUUCUGUCAUUUUUGCCUGGAGUACGAUAAAGUCAUGAUUUUUAGUUCAAUGUUUUUAUUUUUAGAUUAGCACCUGACUAAAUAUAAUAAUGCUAAUUCGAUACUCUAUGUAAUAACAUUCAUAAGAAGAAACAGAUGCCAAUUUCCCCAUUUAACAAGUGACGCAAGGCGUUAAAUUGAUUUAAAAUAACUGUCUAAAAAUAAUUUGUCGAUGAGUAGAUUUUGAAAUAACAUAUUGUGUUAUGUUGGGGAGCCGUAGGAAUAUUAAGACAGAUUGAAAUUUCACUACAUGCUGAAUAAUGGCAUCAAAAAAAUAGACAAACUAUUUUCUUUGCCUACUACGAGAAUUCAUUUUACUGUUUUGCUUCUAAAUGGCAAGAAAAGAGGAGGUUUUAGCUGGCUAUUUGCAAGCAUGUCUCAGAAAAUAACGCCCAUGGACAUGGAGAGCAUUUUCAUCCAGUGAAAAGUCAAAUUAGAUGCAUAGUCACUAUCGAUAUUUAACAUUCUUUUUCAAGGUAUUAGAGAAUCUUGGUUGCUGUGGAAGAAUUUUAAUCAAAUGAAAACAACAAGGAGCCGAGUAAAAAGCAUCCUCAGGCUAAUUUGCAGAAUUAUUCUCAUUUACAUGCCGACAUUUACUUAUGGCAUAUUAACACGAAUGUUCCAGAAAUAUUUUCUAUUUAAGCCAUUCUUCAUUGUGAAAUUAAAUAAAUGCUAUAUGAUCACGUAUAAAACAAAUCAUAAAUUUCAUGUCAAUGUGUGGGGCUUGAUUUGAUCCUCAGAGAAACAAAAGUGCCAAAAUCACUUGUUGGGAAUAGCUAGCGAAAUUUGAAUACGGACCAGAUAUUAGAUGAUAUUAAGGAAUUACUGUUAAUUUUGUUGGGAAUGGCAAUAUUGUACUCGAGUUACACAGGAAACUUUCCUUAUUCCUUUGCAGGGCAUACUGAAG